AGGAUCAGGAGGAACCCAGGGCCGGGGACCCAGGGCUUCUUCAGGGAAACAGAGGCUGCCAUCUUCUGGGGGUGAUGGCCUUCUGCCUGGUAGUCUCCAGGCCAGUGUUUACGGGGUCUCUUGAGCGCAUCUCUCAGUGGAUGGUGGCCCCCAUCACAGUGCCUCUUGAGUUCACAGCUCUUACGUUUCUACCCUCACGCCAGUCCCAGAGUCUCUUGUCUGCAGAGGGCCUGGCUUUCCUUCAUAUUCGUUCAUACUCUGGCUCCAGUCGGCCCUGGGUCCCAGAGGCUCAGCACCAGGGACCAAGCCCUGGCGGAUUCUUCUCCCCCCGUCUUGGGGUUUUCUCUGUGACUGGAUCCUGUAUAUGCAGCCCCUUCCUGAUUUCUCUCCUCGGGUUCAGGUGGCAGCAACGCAGGGCACAGGGACAGCAGCAUUCUGGAGGGUCACUGGGUACAACCUUUGUUUGUGCAAGUUAAUGAUUCACUGAAUUGCCCCCAGGAGGCCCAGAGGAGGCAGGGCUCUGCCAUUCCCGGGACAUGGAGGAAAAGAAACAGCCUCUCCUGCUGCAAAAUCACUUUGCCCUUGUCUUCUUGUGGCCCCGCGUCAGCGUGACGGGGCCGUCGCUGUCAUCAGCCCUCACUAGCUCCCAAGGUGCCUUCCUUGACACAACGUUGCUACUGGAUCGGACACUCCAGGGCGACGGGAGGAAGCUCCACACACAAGCCCCGAUCGCCGAGAUCCACAGAGGAAGCCAAGAGGAAUUCACAUUUGGCUCUCAGGGGUAUAUCACCUUCCCUCAGCACCUCCCUCAAAGGCCCCUGGGUGAUACGCCCACCUCAAAACUAUCUCACUCCUCGAGCCUGAGAUCUGGGAGACACUGGGAAAAGUGGGUGAGGUCAACAAGCUGGAUGGCCCUUAGAAGCUUCCAUUCCUCAGGACUGAGAGAUCCAGAAACUCCAUUCCUGAGCUCGGGCUGGGACCCACUCACGCUUCCAGUUCAGGGUCCCUGCAUCUAAGGGGCCACUUGAUGUACUGAGGCCCCAGGGACCGACCGUCAGGCAUCGAGCUCCCAAACCAGCCAUGUUCAGAUAGAAUCCAAAGCCCUGUGCAGAGAAGCCCGGUCAGGUCUGGCAGGGCCCUCGCUCAGAAGCCCCCAACCCAGCGAGCCGCCCAUCAGCCCGCUCACGGAACUCGGCUCACCGGCCACUGAAGAAAUCCCUACCUGACCCGCCGAUCAGCCCGAAACUUCAACAUCCUUUUGGCAGCUCUCUCCCCUGUUCGGCAGCCUCAGAGGACCUGCCAGCCACCCUGCUCCUACCAUCCCUCUGAGAAGUAAGUCCUCCGGGUCCCGGUGGCCAGCUCGGAGCGCGAGGCAGGCGCGGCUGGCUCCCCCUCCUCCCGGCUCCGGCACCAGGCGAGGGGGAGGGGCUCUCCCCGGGUGGUGGCAGGGGGUGCCCAGGUGCCCUGGGGGGCCCGUGGCUUCCUAGCAUCCAGCCCGAAUGCUGCCGUCUGAGUGCUAGAGGCAGAUUAAAUGAGCAGGGAUGAUAUCCUCCCGGUCCAGGUCCCCGAGGAGAAAACGCUGAAACAGAGGCGGGCGGGAGCCGAGCAGGUGUACAAGUUCCAGGUAGUCCGACCUCCCUGAGCUAAGGACACAGAGUGGCCGGGCGGGCGGAGCCGUCUGGGGCCGCGCUCCCAUCUGCGCGGCCUGCAGGAAGACGGUCUUUCCUGCCUCCCGACCCCCAGCCCCGAACGCAGGCCCUUGGGCUGAAAUCCACGUGCUCCGCAGAGACCCUUCUGAUCCCGCGGGCACGAGGGUUAAAAGAAGCUCCAGGCUCGGCUGCUGCCACUGCCUAGAAGCUGAGAUUAAGUUUCCCAGACUUCGGCGCAGACAGGGCACAGCGAGGGGGGCUUCUGCGCAGCAACCCCCCCCCCCCAAACGUGCUCUCUUAGGACCUAGCCCCUCCUGGCUUGCCCUCCGCUUGGGGUCCAGCUGAGGGGCACGGGGAGCCAGAGCUGGUGGCAAGCACCUGGCUUCUUUGCUCUGGUGAACUGGAAGGAAAGCUUCCUCCCAAAGCUUGUGAGGAAGAGGGCAGCAAACAGGGCUCAGAGGGGGUCACCGUGUGUUUACUUCUGAAAAUCUUCCCAGAUGCCAUAUGAUAAAUCCCAGCUGGCGACCGUCGCAUCUGCUCAGGGGCAAAGGAGGUUUGCAUCGCCUUGAAGUUCCCUGAACUCUCCGGGGGCUGAAGACGAUCAGAUCUCCCCUUUCCCUCAUGCCCUCGGUGUCUGAGGGUCCUGGGACUGCAAGGGCCUUCUGAAGGUCAUCUCUUCCAACCCCCUGCCUCCAGGCAAGCUCACUCUGCAAUCAAUCUCAUUAAGUGCCCUGGCUGUUCACAAAGGGCUCCAGCAAGGGAGGCUCCAGACCCGCUGUCAGCUUAUGCUGCCAACUUGUUCUUUCUUGAUAUCAAAUUUCAGUUCCUCUGGCUUUCCAUAUUAUUCCAUUUCUGCCUUCGGAUGACAGAAUCCCUUCUGAGCAGCGUGGUCCUUUAUCGCAGCACCAGGCAGUCCAUUGACAUCAUAGUCUGUUGUUACGGCAAUUCUGUGAUGUCACAACAGACCCUGAAAGGGGAGGGCGGGUCUAAUUUUUCAGAUCGAGGUCACAACUCAGAGAACCGUGCAACCAGUGAAUGCAAAAGCGAGCAGACAACAUUAUUAUUUAACUGCGACAAGACAAGCCGGCUGGCUAGAGCUGGGGUCAACAGCUACCGAUAUUGAGGCAACUAAUCCUAAAGCCAAACGGUCAAUAUAUUCAACCAUUUAGCGGUACUUUUGCAAAUGGUGACAAGAGCCUUCGGGUGCCAGAUCCCACCUCUCUCUGGCCCAGCCUAAUUAUUUGAGCCCUGCUAUGGUUGCGGGAAUCUGGGCCCUCCUCUGGUGCCAGCUUGAGGUCUCUGCCUGUGCACAGUAGGCGCCUAAUAAAUAUUUGUUGAACCAACAAGUGAAUGAAUGAACGAACAAAAGAAACCCUCCGUGCUCCAACUUAAUUUUUAGCCACCUGCAUUUGAAGUUUGACAUUCUAUUACCAAGGGCCUCCCUACCUUUGCUCUCUCUUAAAAUUAAUUACUUCCUCUCCAUGAGAGAAGCUCUGUCUCUGCCCCCUCGCCCCUUCACUCAGCUCCCCUGCCUGGCUCCCCCUCGAAUAUAUAGCUUGGCUUUGAUCCGUCUUCAUUAGGAGGGGAAGAAAAUUAAGCUCAUCUGUACAGGAGGAGGGAGUGGAGGUGCAUUGGGAAAAUGAGUUUUCUUCCUCUAGAAGGCAAAAAAUAUCCCCUUUCUCUUCAAGCUGAGCUCAGGAACCUCCCACAGGCUUUGCUUAAGUUGUAAGCUAAAUUACUUCUCCCAUGCCCAGUGAAGCUAGCACAAGGGAGUAGGAAUGUAGGCUCAGGGGCUUUCCCUGCUUGUCGAGGGCUCUGAAAUCCUCAGGGUUCAGGCACACAGAAUGCCUAGCUGGGGUUCUUUUCCUUCACCACUAAACUGCACAGAAUGACAGGUUGUCAUUUUAGGGUAGACAUCAAGAAGAACUUACCAGGUGCAGGAUAUUUUAAAAGGGAAACAAGAAUAGGGGAUUCAUUUUUUCUCUCUUCUUUCCUCUUUUUUUUUUUUUUUUUUUUUUGGUGGGGGGGAUGUCAAAGGCCUCCAUUUCUCAGGAACAAAUAGUUAUGAGCACAUCUCCAAAUGGACCUCCUGAUUCCCCCCCCCCCCUAAAAAGGGGGAGAAUCUCAAGCAGUCAAGCAGAUUUUGUGAUGGAGGCAGGAACAUCCCUAAACUCCUGGAUCUCCCACUGGGUGGCCACCUUAUCCACUGUGCCUACAAACGUGGCCCCAAUGGCAGUGCCACCAGUGAAAAGAGAAUUGGGCAACACCAGGCUUACAGUCCAAGAUCCAGCGGGAAUUAGCAAUGUGACCUGACUUCUCUGGUUAUUCGUUUCCUCGUGUGCAAAUGAGGUACCUUCUAAUUCUAUGAAAUAAUAGCUGGAACUUGCAAACUG
Herpailurus yagouaroundi (jaguarundi) is the source of this 4042-nucleotide RNA transcript. RefSeq lists it as uncharacterized. The transcript is spliced from 6 exons. Lineage: Eukaryota; Metazoa; Chordata; Mammalia; Carnivora; Felidae. The record is from RefSeq and is a predicted model, not a curated record.